UGUUGAGUGAGUGAGGUGGUUGUGCGAAGUGUGGUUUGUGUUAACAUGUCUCUUGCAUUAUAAAUAUUGAUACGCUUUCAUAUCGCUACGAAGUGUAAACAGAAAUUUGAACAAAGUUCUCGACAAGUGCAUUAUUCCGUGAGAAUGGUGUAAAUAUAUGUGCAUCACAUUAGGGUGACAUCGGGAUUCGAUUUUUCUUAAUUAUCUGAUGCCGAACAACAUGUGAACUGAAGCCUGGAGCGUUCGAACGCUUUGAAGGAAUUCACCGCGAGUCUGAAGACGCCGUCCAUUGACAAGAUGACGCCGACGCGGGAGGCCGGAGCCAGCAUGCCGAUAUGUUCCCCGGCCGCCGGCGACACCUGAGACGCGGGGCGGCAUGGAGGAGAAGCGGGGCGCGGG
This 399-nucleotide long non-coding RNA is filed under the name Schistocerca americana (American grasshopper). RNAcentral's name for it is "uncharacterized LOC124607399". The record is from RNAcentral. Lineage: Eukaryota; Metazoa; Arthropoda; Insecta; Orthoptera; Acrididae.